This 435-nucleotide ribosomal RNA is filed under the name uncultured bacterium. RNAcentral's name for it is "partial 16S ribosomal RNA". It matches the Rfam family "Bacterial small subunit ribosomal RNA", at positions 29 to 507 of the family's 1533-position model. The record is from RNAcentral.
AGCGAACGCUGGCGGCAGGCUUAACACAUGCAAGUCGAGCGGGCAUAGCAAUAUGUCAGCGGCAGACGGGUGAGUAACGCGUGGGAACGUACCUUUUGGUUCGGAACAACACAGGGAAACUUGUGCUAAUACCGGAUAAGCCCUUACGGGGAAAGAUUUAUCGCCGAAAGAUCGGCCCGCGUCUGAUUAGCUAGUUGGUGAGGUAAUGGCUCACCAAGGCGACGAUCAGUAGCUGGUCUGAGAGGAUGAUCAGCCACAUUGGGACUGAGACACGGCCCAAACUCCUACGGGAGGCAGCAGUGGGGAAUAUUGGACAAUGGGCGCAAGCCUGAUCCAGCCAUGCCGCGUGAGUGAUGAAGGCCCUAGGGUUGUAAAGCUCUUUUGUGCGGGAAGAUAAUGACGGUACCGCAAGAAUAAGCCCCGGCUAACUUUGUG